AUAUGGAACAAGCUCUCCAGCCACGUUAAAGCCUAUAGUCUGGCAGCUUUCAAGAAACAGCUGGAUGAAAUCCUUGGAUCACUUAGCUACAGUAUUAACUACCAAAUGGGCAAAUGACCUCCUCUUGUAUAUUACCUUCCUUAUAUUCCUAAAGGAAGCUCAUUAGAACCUUCCCCCCUUGCUAGCCAUCACAAAUGCAGAUGCUCUGGCUAUCAAAUUCAGUUUUCGUCCAUUCAUGCCCCACAAUAAUUCCAUGUGCUUCUUUUUCAGUGUCGGCAUUUCGGUAGGAUUGAGUCUGAGGGAAAGACGUCACACAAACCUCUAGUUCUCUAUGCCAGUGACCUUGCAAUUUCAGCGGAAUUUGGCCAUUUGUUAUCACAUUGAGAAACAAAUCUGCUACAGGUAGCCAUUCUUCCCAUGCAGGAAGGUUAUGUUCACAUAUUUACAGCAGGUGUUGGUUUUGUACUAACAGAAGAAUCCACCCGCCCACCUUCAUGAUUAAAGAUCCACGGAUGUCAAAGAAAGAUCAUGGAGUGUUUCAUGGAUUUUGAUGACUUCGUUCGGGAUCCAUCCUACAAGUUGCCUACCAGAUUGCAAGAAGAACUUAUCAUUUCCUUCCUGCACAGCGUGUCUUGUCAUUGCAAAAUGCAGGCUUCAAUCCUGGAGUGAGCUUUAAAAUUGCUACAGUGGGGGAUGGUGGCCUUGUGGGGUUCACAGGAGAGACUGAAGGGACCGUGGGAUGAAGGCAGCAAAUGGUUAUCAUCUGUCAUGAAAUCUGGAGCAGGAAAGCUGUGAGAGUGGUCACAGGUAUCGGUUCUCUUACCCGUAGUUAAACAACAAUAUAACAAAUCUUUCAACCUGCCUAAUAUAGUUCCA
RNAcentral lists this long non-coding RNA (876 nucleotides) under Lepisosteus oculatus (spotted gar). RNAcentral's name for it is "lncRNA (ENSLOCG00000022372.1)". Lineage: Eukaryota; Metazoa; Chordata; Actinopteri; Semionotiformes; Lepisosteidae. The record is from RNAcentral.